Sus scrofa (pig) is the source of this 2580-nucleotide non-coding RNA. NCBI's taxonomy places the organism in Eukaryota, Metazoa, Chordata, Mammalia, Artiodactyla, Suidae. The record is from RefSeq and is a predicted model, not a curated record.
UGUGGUAUCAGAAAGGACAGAAGGGAGAAUAUGUGCAAGGAAUCUUAGGAUGGUUGGAUGCUUUGAAUUGCAGCAAUCGAAACUCUGUAACUAGUUUAAGACAUUUAGCCUUUAUUUGCUCCAGUGACAGCAGAAGCUGCCUGGGAGUUCCGCCGUUGCUUCUAAGAGUGGAGGAGGACUUUGGGAAUUGAAAGGCACAGGCUAUCUGCCAAGUUGAGAGGCUGACAACCAAAAGGCAAGUGUGGGAAUUUCUGGGGGCAGCUGGAUUUUGCCACAUCUGGAUACCAGGGUUCUUACAAAUUGCUAAGCCACUCUUGAGGCUAUGGCAAGGUCUGGACAAACACCACUUCGGUGGGAGCCUGAAUAAGAACAGGCAUUCUUAAAGCUCAAAGAACUGGUCAUGCAGGCUCCUGCACUAGGACUUCCUGAUGUGACCAAAGACUUUAAUUUGUUUGUACAUGAAAAAGACGUGGCCUUGGGAGUCCUAACCCAGACUGUAGGGUCCUGGCAAGGACUGGUGGCCUACUUGUCUAGAGACUGGACUCAGUGGCCUCAGGAUGGACCCCAUGCAGCCGAGCUAUAGCACUAAUGGUAAAAAAAGCCGAAAAGAUAAUCUUGGGACAGAGGAUUUAAGUUCCCACAUUCUGUCCUGGCCUUACUCACAGGGCCGGGAGCCAAGUGGCUGUCAACACCUAGAGCCCUCCACUACCAGGGACUGUUGUGUGAAAAUCCCCAUGCUCAGGUGGAACCCAGCCAGGCUGUUAACCCAGCCACUUUCCUCCCAGUGGGGUUGGGCCUGACUGUGAGGAAAUUUUGGAGGAAAUUCAUGCCAGUCUGCCCGAUCUCCAGGACUCUCCACUGACUGAUGCGGAGGUCUAUUAACUGUUGGGGGCAAGGAAAUAAAAAAUAAGGAAGAAAUCUUAAUACUCUUGGAAGCUGUUUGGGACUCAGAACAGGUGGCAGUAAUGCACAGCAGAGAACACCAGAAAGGUCAGGCAAUGGAGGCAAAAGGAAACUGGAUGGCUGACCAAGCAGCCAAGGAGGCAGCUACACAGGAACCACAGGUUGUGUCUGAUAAGCCCAAGCGAUGCCUUCACUCCCACCACAGCCUGUAUAUAGUAAUGAAGAGCUAGAAUGGCUAAAAACUGAAGGGGGAUUCCGGCAAGCUGACGGAUGGUGGGUGUUACCAGAUGGAUGAAUCUUUGUGUCCUCCUCUCUGGCAUGUAAAGUAGUACAAGAUUUCCAUCAGUCAACCCACCUCGGCCGCAGGUAUUCUUCCUUGAAUUCAUCACAGUAGGGUGAAGAUUGCUGCAGACAAAACCACCUCCUGAAAAGUAGAAAAGGACACAGACCGGCCACUGAAACUCUCCCUUAAGAAACAAGAAGGAAAAUGACUUCAGCUCAGAGCGUUCUGCGACUGCUGGAGACAACCCUGCUGCUACUAGGACAUCUAUAGACCAGGUGGAGAUCCAGGACAAUGUCUUUAUAUCACAGGCACAAUUCUAUGUGAACUUUCACAACCAAUCCAGCUGGGUAUGUGGAGCCCUGCCAAUGUCUGUAAUGGAUGAAGACCCUGGUAGAUAUCACCUUUCCACCAGGGUGAUUUGGCUAAUUUAUGUGACUUUUAUAUCUGUUUUUCAAUGGUAUGAUUACUUGGCAGCCGUAUUUGUUCCAUCACUAGAAAUGACAGAUAUCAUGAUGAGGGUGGAAGCUUUAACUUUACCAAACAGGCUUUAUUAAAUGAGAUGAAAACUAUAAACGCACUAAAUACUAAACAAAUACUGAUGGGAAAGGCUGUCAUUCAGGUAGAAUGGCAUUAGCCAUCCUAACAGCUGCCCAAGGAGGGACAUGUGCUAUCAUAAAAGUAGAGUGUUGUGCAUAUAUUCCUGAUCUCUCUGGUAAUCUGAUAAUGUAACUGCUGCAUUAGAUGAUAUGAGGCAUCAGGUUAGAGCAAUGUCUGAUGAUAAUCUUCUUUUUUGGACUUCUGUUUUGUCUUGGUUAAAAGGGGACUGGUGGAAAAUGUAAUACUAAUCAUAGUUAUUAUACUGCUAUUGCUAAUCUUUGGACCUUGAAUUUUCAAUUGUGUUACUCAGCUUGUUGCAUCCCAUUUAGGAACCAUGUUCCAAGCCCACACCCCUUGAGUAUACAGUAUUUGCCAAUGACUGAUGCACAUCAGAAAGGAUGAGCAUCAGGAGGGGGGAAUGUAGGGAUGUGGAAAAAGGGAAUAAGGAGCUUGGCAAGAGUGAAGCCAUCUCGCUGCCACCAUCUAUCUUGGUCAACUUAAGGUGACUCAUAUGAGGGCUCUGAGAAAAACAAAGUCAUUAGGACUUGGAAAAUGCCAGGCCCUGAUUGUUCUAAAGAAAUUCAAUAAUAGCUAGAUUGUGCUUGAGGUUAAUCAUUAAAGUAACAAUAUGAGGCAUUCUUUACAUCUAUACACUUUUCUGUACCCUGCAUGUAACUAAAGAUUAAUGUAGCAUGUUAGAUAUGUAAGCAAGGACCCCCAACUUUUGGUUCAGGGUCCAUGAUUGGGACGUGAUUCCCCGUGGACCUGCUGGCAUAAUAAAGCUAUUCUCCAUCUUC